UCCCUGGUGGCUCAGAGGUUAAAGCAUCUGCCUGCAACGCGGGAGACCCGGGUUCGAUCCCUGGGUCGGGAA
This is a transfer RNA of Ovis aries (sheep), 72 nucleotides long. It matches the Rfam family "tRNA". From Rfam's summary of the family: Transfer RNA (tRNA) molecules are approximately 80 nucleotides in length. Their secondary structure includes four short double-helical elements and three loops (D, anti-codon, and T loops). Further hydrogen bonds mediate the characteristic L-shaped molecular structure. tRNAs have two regions of fundamental functional importance: the anti-codon, which is responsible for specific mRNA codon recognition, and the 3' end, to which the tRNAs corresponding amino acid is attached (by aminoacyl-tRNA synthetases). tRNAs cope with the degeneracy of the genetic code in two manners: having more than one tRNA (with a specific anti-codon) for a particular amino acid; and 'wobble' base-pairing, i.e. permitting non-standard base-pairing at the 3rd anti-codon position. The record is from Rfam. NCBI's taxonomy places the organism in Eukaryota, Metazoa, Chordata, Mammalia, Artiodactyla, Bovidae.